Long non-coding RNA from Aedes albopictus (Asian tiger mosquito), 556 nucleotides. RefSeq lists it as uncharacterized. The record is from RefSeq and is a predicted model, not a curated record. The transcript has 2 exons. NCBI's taxonomy places the organism in Eukaryota, Metazoa, Arthropoda, Insecta, Diptera, Culicidae.
CACUGCGAACUCGGCAUUACCCUUUAAAGUGCAAAAAGUACCCAUUUUUUGCAGAUGUAUGGAGCUGUCAAAAAACAGGGUAAUUUUAAAUUUUGCGAAAAGAGUAAAUUUUGCCCUGUUUGAUGAAUGGAGCUCUUACCCAUUUGUGGGUGAAAAACAUCUUGAACUUUUUCUCUGUCCUCCUUUCGGUAAAGCAGUAGGAACAGAUCUUAAAUUAGAUUUUCGUCGAAGUUAGAAAACUGAAGUUGCAGAAAUGAUGGUUUUAUUUGAAACGCCGAUAUCCUUCCAGAAUUUGGGAUCUAGCUUGGGAUGCCAAAAGAUUCCCCCACCAUAAGAAAGAUCCUCCGGAACAUCUCGACAAGCGAACGCAGCACAAUUACUUUCCGGGGACAAUUACUGCAGUAUAGUUCAAAAGCGAAGUAAGGAUUGGUGCAAGAUCGGCCUCACAAUGAAACACUUUAAAACAAUGUUUUCGCAUUACAAGUAGUGUUAAAGUGUAGUCAUUUAUGAUCAUUUCCUAUUGUAUUUAGAUAAAAUAAAGUAUUCUCGUACGUAU